This 479-nucleotide ribosomal RNA is filed under the name uncultured Gammaproteobacteria bacterium. RNAcentral's name for it is "bacterial SSU rRNA". It matches the Rfam family "Bacterial small subunit ribosomal RNA", at positions 33 to 503 of the family's 1533-position model. Lineage: Bacteria; Pseudomonadati; Pseudomonadota; Gammaproteobacteria. The record is from RNAcentral.
ACGCUGGCGGCAGGCCUAACACAUGCAAGUCGAGCGGAAACGAUCCUAGCUUGCUAGGAGGCGUCGAGCGGCGGACGGGUGAGUAACACGUGAGAAUCUGCCCAUUAGAGGGGGAUAACCUGGGGAAACCCAGGCUAAUACCGCAUAAUCCCUACGGGGGAAAGCAGGGGAUCUUCGGACCUUGUGCUGAUGGAUGAGCUCGCGUCGGAUUAGCUUGUUGGUGAGGUAAUGGCUCACCAAGGCGACGAUCCGUAGCUGGUCUUAGAGGAUGAUCAGCCACACCGGGACUGAGACACGGCCCGGACUCCUACGGGAGGCAGCAGUGGGGAAUCUUGGACAAUGGGGGCAACCCUGAUCCAGCCAUGCCGCGUGUGUGAAGAAGGCCUUCGGGUUGUAAAGCACUUUCAGUAGGGAGGAAGGCUUAUCCUUAAUACGGAUGAGUACUUGACGUUACCUACAGAAGAAGCACCGGCUAAUUU